This is a long non-coding RNA of Perca fluviatilis (European perch), 1394 nucleotides long. RefSeq lists it as uncharacterized. The transcript has 3 exons. The record is from RefSeq and is a predicted model, not a curated record. Lineage: Eukaryota; Metazoa; Chordata; Actinopteri; Perciformes; Percidae.
CUUUUUUCUCUCGAGGCAUCAACAACACAGCUAACAGCAACAGCAGUCUGGAAGAAAGGGUAUCUCAAACUAAGGGAGGACUUUCAACCAGCCAGACGUGAGACACACUGCAUUAAGCUGCUUUUCCACUGUGAGGACUGCAGGCAGAGGUUUCAUAGCACUGAGAUUUGCAGCUUCUGCUGGUCAGCGGGUUUUACUGGUGUCUUUUAUCCGUGCAUUGUAAUACUUUUUAUUGGUCUUCCUGCCAGAACUUUAUCUUGUGUUUGUAAUUUUCUUUUACUGAAAUUCUUUUUCAGCUUCAUUUUUAUUUGAAGGAGCUUUCAGUGGAUGCUAACAGCUUUAGAAAAACAUGUCUGUGCAGUCCACUGUCUCAUAUUGAGAAAGAGAAGCAUUUAUUCUGUAAUGAUGAUAGCUCUGACUUGGUGUGUUAAACUAUGUGAGCUCUAUUCUUGUACCAAAUUAUUCUGUCUGUCUGAUCAAGUGCCUGGUUUUGGGAUUAUUGUAUCUUGCUAACCCUCUUAUUUUGCCUCUCUGUUAUUCUUCUUUUACAUCCUGGACGAUGCUUUCUCACAGUCUUUUGCACGUCUGCAUCCGCACACCAGAGACUGAAAGAUUGAUGUACAGACCAGACACUAUAAGCACAGUCUGUUUCCAGUGAUGUUGUAGCCCGGUCCUUUCCUCACUGCUCAGCUGCUAUGUUAGGAAUGCUGGACGUGCAUCUCUAUUGUCUGGUCAAAGGGUCUUCACUCAUCUCAUUUGGCUCUCAUCCAUAACAACCUGGCCACUGCAGGGAGAACAGUUCAUUUCUUAAAGGGGCACACCAAUUUUACACAUGAAGAUAUCCUGAUGUCAUAAGGAGUAUAUGCCAUCCUGUGAAAACAAUUGCAUAAUGAGGGAGCUUUCGUAAAGUCUAAAAUGAAUCAUCAGGAUGACAUCAUCAACCCCCAGUUUAAAAGAUAUGACAAUUUACCAGUCAGGGAGUGUCUAAUGAAAGAUGCUAUUGAGGUGUAUUAUGGGAAAUAUAGGAUCCAAUGUUUUUGGACCCAUUCUAGGGGCUAGAAGUCACAAUAUAUCAUCUUUGGUGCUGCUGGAGUACACUAAUUCUAAAUACAAAAAUAGCUUGAUUGUUUUAGUUAAGAUGUUUUAUCCAACAUUUGAAGGGUUAUUUGUUAAUAUGUGUGUAAUUAGAUGUAUUUCUUUAUGUCAGAAACAGGCUAAACAUGAGCAGGAAGCAUGAAUUAGGCACCCCGUUGUCCUAGGGGUUAGAACGAAGAUCAUGAAUGCUUGUUUCCUGUCAUCUCUCAACUAUCAGCUGUCUAAUAAAGGUAAAAAAAAAAUGCCCUCAACAUCAUUUGAUUAUUUAUUUUAAAGAAAACGCCUGAAAAUACAUUAUU